AACGUAGGGGGCUAGCGUUGUCCGGAAUUACUGGGCGUAAAGGGCACGCAGGCGGUCUGUAAAGCGGUGGGUGCAAUCUCGAGGCUCAACCUCGAAACUGCUUGCCGAACUGGCAGACUAGAGCACGGGAGAGGACAGUGGAAUUCCCGGUGUAGCGGUGGAAUGCGUAAAUAUCGGGAGGAACACCAGUGGCGAAGGCUGCUGUCUGGAACGUUGCUGACGCUGAGGUGCGAAAGCUAGGGGAGCGAACGGGAUUAGAUACCCCCGUAGUCCCU
Molecule: ribosomal RNA, 275 nt
Filed under: uncultured prokaryote
Description: partial 16S ribosomal RNA
Rfam family: Bacterial small subunit ribosomal RNA
Source: RNAcentral